RNAcentral lists this long non-coding RNA (611 nucleotides) under Helianthus annuus (common sunflower). RNAcentral describes it as "hypothetical non coding rna". Lineage: Eukaryota; Viridiplantae; Streptophyta; Magnoliopsida; Asterales; Asteraceae. The record is from RNAcentral.
AUCUCUGUGAUGUGUGGAUCGACCAGAGCAAAGAACCAAAGGGACAAACCCUAACUUCAUGAACUUCUCAAAAUCAAAAGGGAAUUAAGAGCCCAAAUGGAUGCAUGAACUCAAAUUUCGUAUAAUCUGAGCUUGUUCAACGAUCGGAAUAUGUUGAACAUGAUGAAUUAUGAUAAUAUGCUUAUGGAGGCAUUAAGGAAGAAAGUUCGAGUCAAGUGAAGCAACAAGGAAAUCAAGACCGAGGUAAAUCUCAUGUCUAACUAUCAAGCUUUGCCCGGAUCGAACACACCUCAAGCCCGUCAAGCGUUCCGCAUUUUGUAAAAGUCAAUGUUUGCCAUUUUGUCACUAAUGUCUAUGUUUAGUAGUUAAACCUAGUUUCUAUUAUGUUUGUCUUUGGAAAACUUGUCGUAAGUACGUACGGAAACUUAAUGGUUUUGUAAGUAACAACAUGGUAUGUUUUGACGUAUAAUUUGUGUCUUUUGAAUGGUUGCGUAGUUUUUAAAUGAUAUUUGAUUAUGAAAAACAGGGGACGGUUCGUUUUACGAACGGGUCAUGCCCAAAUUUUGUUAGAAAAAUACGUUGUUAAUUAAUAAAUUUAAAAAGAAAAUUUG